CUCUUCUGAUAUUGAAUCUUGCAUCCUCUUUAUCACUAAACCCUGCAAUCAUUCAAAUCAAAUUACAUUUUACAAUCAUAAGAUAAUUGCACAUAAUUUUUUAUAUAUUAUGAACUAUUGGUGGGGCCUAGGUCAAAAUUAUUCUUUAUUUUAUACUUCAAUCAAAUCCUGUGGGCUCAUAUCAGAGAGAAAACCAGAAUGGAAUGGUUGGUUGGUUAAGAAAAGUUUUGGUAUUUUUUAAGGCCAACAAAUCAGGUGACAGCACUCCAUUGUUAGUUCUUGUCAACAUAAUUAACAAUAGAAAACAAUACUUUCCCAGAAGCUCAAACCAGUUAACAUCAACUUCAAAACAAUAUCUGGGAAUGUGUACUGUUCCCAACUGUCUAUAUAAAUAGCAGUUUUGAGUUUUUAAACUACCAAGGUGUUUCAAAUCAGCAUUAACUCUCUUAAAAUUUCAACUCUCAACAUGGUUUUGAUAAAUCAAACAGUUCACAUUAUUUCAAAAGAAGUUAUCUUUUAGCAAAGAAAAAUACGGUAGUGGAUGAAAGAUGACAUCUAUAUUUACCUUACACAUGUUUGGAGGACACAAACUGCAGCCAUGAGGAGAUCUGUUGAAAUCAUGGCAAGGUAGAAUCCUUAACCUUCCUUCUUCAUUCACAUAACCGGGGUUAGUAUUGAUCUCUGAGAAAUAUUCCCUUAUUCCUAAGUGCUUCAAAAUUGACUCAAUGAAAAACAAGUUUGCGUCACUCACAAUCCUCAAAUCACACCUGGAAAAACAAAUGCCACCAUAAAUUUAAUCCACAAAAUCACAUUAAAAAAAAGUAACAAAAUUUGCAUGCAUAGUUACAUACCCUGAAGCAUGAGCUGCUUUAACAGCGGGUAUUACCCUGGGGUGCAAGGGAAUCUUAUGCAGAACCUCUUCAAUGUCCUUAAUGGUUUUACCCUGUGAGUGAAGCUCCAUCAUCAUCUUGUCCUAUAAAUCCAAAACCAAAACAAACAAAAAAUAACAAACGGUUAUUCAUACCAUUAACACAAAAUCUAAAAAAAAAAUAUACAAAAAAGGAAGAAAAAAACUAAUUCUUAGAUAUAUUUUAACUGUUCUUGGUUACAUUGCCGCAUUAUUUGUUAAUCUUUAAUGCAAAAAUAAUUUAACCAAAAUUAGAAAAUGAAACUUUAAUGGCAAAGAACACUUAGCAAACAGGCAUGUAAAGUUUGUUCCUAAAGAAAGUGACUACAAAGGCUUACCAUGAGAGUGUUCCAAGGCAUUGUGGGAAGGAGUUGGUUGAACAAAUCUGUGAAACCCAACUCGUCGAUGACCCAGUUGUCGCUGUCGACAUCCACAAUGGUCUUGUCAAAGUCGAAAACAACCACAAUUUCAGACAUGUUUGUUUUGGUGAAUGCAGAAACUCUGAACGGCCCAGAAGAAGAAACCUUCUUCUCAAGAACAAGGCUCUCUUUGGGUGUCUGGUGGUGCUCUCAAGAUCUGCUCUUGGCUUGGAUUGCACCCUGAAAGAGAAUGAAAAGGGUAUUUGUAGUGAAUGUGGGUUAAGAAAACCCCAAAAAAAUGAAUCUUUGAUUCCAAAGGAAUAUUACCUUGCAUAUGGAUUGUUCCUGGAAGAGAAGAAGGUGACCAAGGAAAAAGUUUCAUUUUUAGCCUCAGAAAUUUCUAGCUGUGACAUUUCAAAUUCAAUCUAAGCCGUUGGUUUUGAAGAAUAUUAGGUGGGAAAAAAAUCAGAGGGUUUGGAGAUUGAGCAUAAAUAUGGGAAUAUUCCAUUAGGGAAUUUGAUGCCUUUGAUGUGACUAUGAAACGCGCUACUCCACCAACAAGUUUACAGGUGCAACCCAUCAGAAUAUUUUGGGUAUAGUCCCUUCCCUUCCACAAACAUUUAACUCAUGCAAUCCAUUUUUAUCAAAAUUUCAUUUAUUACAAUCUUAAGUGUAAUAAUGUUCAUUGAAAAUAAAAUAUAUUCUAUAUUAUUAAAUAAAUUAGCAACAUAGUGUGUGUUCAUUAAAUGUCUUCUAUUGUGUGUCUUUCUAGCAUUGUAAUUAUUGUUAGAACACACUUAAUUUGGAGUAAAUAAAUGUGAUUUGGUGAAAAAAAUAGUAUUUACUUUAUGAAAAAAAAAAUUAAAAAAUUAAUUUAUUUACUUUUUACAAAAAAUUAUCCUUUUUAAAAAAAUUAUUUUAUUUCAAUAUCUAAAAUAGUUAUAAUUUCAAUAUAUUCUUUUCAUUUUUUUCGAUUAUAAAUAACCAGCACGUUAUUAUAUUAAGACGGACUAUAGGGGUGAAGGGGAGUCACCUUUUUCUCUUCAAAAUUAUAAUAUAGAUUUUUCUAAAAUAAAAAUUAUUUUUUACGUGUUAAAUUUAAACAAUUUUUUACAUGAAUUAUAUGACUUCUAUAUUAUAGUAUAGCGCAUUUUAUUAUUAGUUUAAAUAUUAAUUCAGACUAUUUACACUCUUGAGAAAAUAUUUAAUCUACAACUUUUUAUAUCCAUACUGUUUAUUCUUAAUUUUAAAAGUUUUAUUCCUUUUAUUAUUACAUUAAAAGAAUAUAUUAUCAAUAAAAGAUCAAAUUUUUUAAAUAAGAUUUCAAAGUAAUUAAAAAAAAACUGAAAAUAUCACUAUUACCUAGGAUGAAUGUUGCAAACACCCCAUAAAAUAUAAACUACGCACACAAUAUACAUUUUUUAUAUUAUCAUAAACUAUAGCAUAGGAGUCUAAUAUAAUAAAUAUAUUUAACUAAAUCAUAUUGAAAUAUAUAAAAUCUAACCGAAGUUCAUAGAAAAUCUUAGAUAUCUCUAUGGAAUAGUAAUGAAAUAACCAUUAAAAAAAUGACUCAAUUAAAAAUUAAAUCAACUUAAAACUAAGCAUAAAUCAUAUAUACUAUAGUUUACUCUAAAGAAUCUAUUUCAUAUCAGUUGUCAUGCAGAAUAAAUUUAUAAUGAAUUUAAGUAUAAAUAAACAGUAGAUAUAUAAGUAUUCUGUUAUUAUCUCAUACUUUUGUCUCCAUAAGUUUUUGAAGAAGAAUAGUAAAAAGAAGAAAAGAAGACUCAGUAAAAAUUCAAUGAAAUCACAAAAAAAAAAUAGAGAGAGACAAAAAAAAAUGGUGGUAUGAUAUUGAUCCAAAAUUAAAGUUGAAGCAAAACAUCAAUAACCAAAGUGUUGUUUGGUAUGUCUGCGGAACACCACCAAGAUUUCUUGUCAAUCAAGAUUAGUCAAAUGUUAUCCAAUGUUCAGAGAAAAAAAAAAAUUCCCAAAGAUGUAUAGAAAACAUGUAUUGGUAUUUGAUAGAAAUUAUAGUGGUCCACAACUUAAGACCAAUUCCAACAUUUAACAUUUGCAACUUUAUUAUAGUAUAAGUUUGGUGAAGGUUAAUUGGGAAAAAAGCUUAAAAGUUACUAUGAUACAUUCUAAACUAAGAACUGGUUAUGGGCGAAGUGGUAGGGCUUUGGGCAAAGCCUCCAAAACAGAGAGUGACAGAGUCUGAAGCUUGCAAUCAGAGGUAAUGAAGGGAGAUUUGUGCUCCAUUGACACUUUGCUGAUCAAUUGCAGCAAUACUUGUUCAAGUUCUUCUCCAUCACUCCAUCCAUGAAUCUCAGCCUUAACAACUGAAGGGUCUUUGCAUAUCAAGUCCCACACUGGAAAGUUCUUCCUUGGCAUCAUAAAGUCCUUCUCUUUCAGCCUCAAACUUGGGCAAUAGUCUCCACUCCCAUCUCCAAGGUAGAUCAACCUCUUAUCCUCUUCUGAUAUUGAAUCUUGCAUCCUCUUUAUCACCAAACCCUGCAAUCAUUCAAAUAAAAUAACAUUUUACAAUCAAAAGAUAAUUAUACAUAAUUUUUUAUUUAUUAUGAACUAUUGGUGGGGCCUAGGUCAAAAUUGUUCUUUAUUUUAUAUUUCAAUCAAAUCCAGUAGGCUCGUAUCAGAGAGAAAACAAGGAUGGCAUGUUUGGUGGUUAAGAAAAUAUUUGGUAUUUUUUAAGGCCAAGAAUUCAGGAGACAAGUUCCAUUAUAGGAUCAAUUCAUGACUCAUAAACACUUGAGCCACGUUAGGAGCAAUCUUUGUGAUUAAAAAUGGAAAAAAUAGUGUUCCAUCAGCUAGAGCCAGUUAAGAACAACUUGAAAACAAUAUCUAGAAACGUGUAUUGUUGCCAACUGUUGUAUACAUUUAAGAAACUUUUCAUCAUGAUUUAGACAAAUGACAAAACAAGAUAGAAAAAGGAAGUUGUGUAUUUACCUUGCACAUGUUUGGAGGGCACAAAGUGCAGCCAUGGGAAGCUUUGUUGAAAUCAUGGUAAGGAAGAAUCCUUAACCUCCCUUCUUCAUUCACAUAACCGGGGUUAGUAUUGAUCUCUGAGAAAUAUUCCCUUAUUCCCAAAUGCUUCAAAAUAGUCUCAAUGAAAUACGUGUUUGCAUCACUCAGAAUCCUCAAAUCACACCUGAAAAACAAAUGCCACCGUAAAUUUAAUCCACGAAUCAUAUUUACCAAAAAAAUAAAUAAAAGAAGAUGAUCAUAAUUUUGUAUGAGAGAUGCAGAGUUACGUACCCUAAAGCAUGAGCUGCUUUAAUAGCAGGAAUAACUCUGGGGUGCAAGGGAAUCUUAUGCAGAACCUCUUCAAUGUCCUUCAUGCUUUUACCAUGUGAAUGAAGCUCCUUCAUCAUUGUGUCCUUUAAAAAACCAAAAAAAACAAAAAAACUCGGUUAUUCAUGUCAUUCAAAUCAUGCAUUCUGCAAAGUUCAGUUUAAACAAAACAGAGUAUAAACCCAAAAAAUGUGGCAACAAAAAGGCUUACCAUGAGAGUGUUCCAAGGCAUGGUGGGAAGAAGCUGGUUGAACAAAUCGGUGAAACCCAAUUCAUCGACGACCCAGUUGUCGCUGUCGACAUCCACAAUGGUUUUGUCGAAGUCGAAAACAACCACGAUUCCAGACAUUAUCUGUUUUGGGGAAUGAAAAAAAGAAACCUUCUUUCUGAAGAAUAAGGCUCUGUUUGGGUGUGUGUAUAGUGCUCUGAAGAUUGGUGGUUCUUGGCUUGGUUCUACAAUGGAAAGAAAAAGGGUUAUUUAUAGUAAUGGUGAAUGAAUGAAGAAAAAAAGAAUCUUAGAUUCCAAAGGAAUAUUACACGGAUACUUCGUGGUAGCAAAGAUGGAGGCUCAAAAUUAAAAACACAAAUGUGGCCGUUUUAUUUUACACUCAUCCAAAACCUUUCGGUGCGUUUAAAAUUCAAUCUAGACCGUUGGAUGAAAUCAUAUAGGUAGGCGAAAGGAUCGGAGGGCGUAGGUGGAUUGGACCUAAGAGUAAAACACGGGAAUAUUGACAGGGAAUUGGAUGCACUUGAGGAGCCUCACCUGAGUGUGUGAAAUCCACUUCUCACAAACGCAUGAGAAUAUUCUGAGUAUAGUCCGUUCAGUUAAUUUCGCCAAUUUCAUUUUUUUUUCUGUUAUGAAUUAAUAAAUAUUGGAUUUUAGAAUCAAUAUUUACCUCUAUAUAGAUAAAUUCUUUUUAGAUUUAUAAUAAAUUAAAAUAAUGUAAUAUAUUGUAAUCAAAUGGUUUUGAUUGAUGAUGUCUUUUGAAAAAUUAUAGAAUAUUACUCAAAAAUUCAAGAUGAUAAAAAAGUAAAUUGGUAGAGAUAACCAAUUCAGAAAAUAAGUAUCAUGAUAAAAAUAAAAAAUAAAAGUGUGAUUUGAAAGGAUUUUUUUAAUAUUGUUUUUAUAUUAAAGUAAAAAGAAAUAGAUAAAGUUAGUUUUUAUUUAUAUAUUGUUAAGACUAUUAUGAUUUGAUAAAUUAUUGAUGUCUAUCAUUCUCAUCACAUAUUAGUUAGACAUAAAUUAACCAAUAUUGAUAGAGUAUCUUUUUUAUGUAUGUGAACUCAAUUUUUCAAUUUAUAUAUUUUUCAAAAUUUCUAUAGUGAUUUUUUAUCAUCUGACACCAAUUUUUUUUAAUAAUUUAUUAAUUUUUUUGUUUCAAUGUGAAAUGAAAAGCAAUUAUAUUAAUAUUAACGAAAUUUUUUACCAAUAUUAAAUGAAAGAAAUUUUCAAUUGAUAUUAAUUGAAUAGUCAUAAGAAAAAUUAUUUAAAAAAUUAUAAAAAUCAUUUUGAUGUUAAUCUAAAUAAUUGUAGAAAACCCACAAAAUUAAGAAGAAACUUUAUCAAUGUUAUUAGAAAUUUAUUAUAAAUUAUUUUAUAUUUAAAUAAUUUUAUAUAAAUACUAAUUUAAAUAUUUUAUACAAAAUUAAUAAAUUUAAAUUACCUUGUUGAGAUAAACGUUUAAACAAUGAGAUCAAUUUAAAUUUUAUAUAUUUAAUUUUUUAAAAUUAUAAUAUUACUUAUCCAAACAAAGAUUAUGAUAUUUUUUUAAUAUACUUUGAUUUAUUAAAUAUGUUGUUACGUUUGGAGUUAUUUUUAACAUAUUAAUGAUAUUUAUUUGAUAUUCAAAUAUAUUAUUUAUACUUAUUCAACUAACAACAUUUAAAUCAUACUCUUCAAAUGACUUUACCAAAUUUUCAUUUUUUAUUCGUUCUCCUAAACUUACAUAAAAAGAUAAAUAUUGUGUAAAUAAUCUUUUAUCUAAUUAACUAUUAAAGUUUUAGCUACUAAUUGUUUUAUAUUCGAAAGUUGAUAAUUAAAAUCUUAAUAGUUAAUUAAAUAUUAAUUUAAAAAAUUAAUUUAUUAAUUUUAUUAAUAAUAGAAAUUACUUUUGAUAUUAAUAACUUUUUUAGUCUUUAAAAUAAUAUAUAAUUUAAUCACUAGUGAUUGAUUAUUUAUUAUUUCUAAAAUUAGUUUCUAUUUAUUAAUUUUUUUUAGUAAAAGUUAUAUAUUUUAAAAAAAAACUUUAAAUUUAAAUUAAUCAUACAAAAUCAAUUCAAUUUGUAAGGUGAGAUUUAACUCCACUGCUUUUUCUAACAUAAAUAAUAUAUAAAUUUCACAUUAAUAACUUAUUAACAAAUUUAUAUAAAAGAAUAAUAUUUAAUAUAAAAUAUUAAGAUGAUAGAGUUAUAAUUUUCUACUUGCAUAUUAUUUAUUUUACAAAAUUUUAAUAAAAGGAACUAACACUAAAGGAAAAAAUGGUUUUAACGGGGUAUUUAUUUUUAUAUUAUUCAUGAUUAAAAUCUCUAUUAAGUCAUUUACCUAGUGUUGCAGUUUUCUCGUUAAACCAUCCCUCAGCAAGGUGUUUUCUGGGUUUUUUUAAACCUCAGGACAAAUCUUUCAAAACUCUUAUUAAAUAUCAUGGGUUUAGAAACCUCCGUAAAAUACCAGGGGUUUCAAAAACCUUUGUUAAAUACCAUGGGUUUAAAAUUUUUUGUAAAAUAUCAUGGGUUUCAAAACCUCUGGUAAAUACCAUGAGUUUAAGAACUUUCAUAAAAUACCACGAGUUUCAAAAUUUUCGUAAAAUGACUUGUCGUCUGAAAUAACCUUCAACCUUAUUUUUCACCAUCUCUAACGAUCCUCCUGACUUCUUUAUUCCAUCAUAGACACACUUGUCCCCGACACAAGCUCAAUAGCCACCAACGACAGUCCUAGCAAGGAAUCAUAAUUUAGUCACACCUAUGUCUAUUAUACCUAAGGAAAAAUAAGGCACUAUCAUUGUUUCUUCCAUCACCUUACUACCUCAACUUGGGUCACAAGUCAUUCUUACCUAGCUCGACAACAGUUGAUGUUUAUCACUGCUUUAUAUAUCCUAAAUAAUUGUAUUAUCUGUUAGAUGUGGACUUCAAAGUCAUGUGUGUAAAAUAAAUUUUUGAAAACUUAGAAAACUUAUUGUAUUGUAAAGUUAUGCUUUUAAAAUUUUAGAAAAUUUAGUUAUAAAAUAUAUUGAAACUAUAUAGUUUUUAAUGGUUUAUUUAUAAAUAGAUUUAAUUAUACUUAUUUAUUAAAGUUUGAAAAAUCUGGAGCAUUUUAUUGAAGUUCUACCAUAAAUCUUUGAAAUUUAACAAAGGUUAAAAAAACUUUCAUUGUCUUGUUGAGAUUUUAGAAUAAAUCUUUAGAACUUAACGAAGGUUAAAAAAAUCUCCGUUAUUUUGCUGAAAUUUUAGAAUAACCUUGGAACUUAAUGAAUUAUUACAAAGUGGAAUUUAAACUUAACUCAACUCCAUAAAAUCAGCUCAUGAAGUGAGGUUUGCACCCACUUAUAUAUAAUGAAAUGCCUUAAUCUAUAGUCGAUGAGGGAUCUUCAACUUAAAUGUUAAAAAACUUUCAUAAUUAAAUUAAUUUCUAAAAUUAAAUUAAGUUACUCUCAAUAAUCUCUGUUAAAACUUUUUUUUUAAGUGUAAUAGAUCACAUAUUCACAUGAAACAUGUCUAAAUCAGAUGCAAUGACAAAGGAGGUCUUGUUAAUGUCCGAAACACUUGUUAUAAUUAACAUUUGAGUAUUAUUAUUAUUAACAUGUGUUUGAUUGUGGUGUGAUCAUAUUGAUGCAUUAAUUAAAGUUUUAUUAUUAUUAUUAUUAUCUUCUUGGCGAGUUCUUAUAUCAUCAGAGUAUAAGAAAUGGUUUUGACCUACUAAUGGAAAAUUAUGAUUCUGCCACCAUUUUUGGUCGAGUUUUUUAAUCCUCUGAUUCUAUAUCUGAGGUUACAUUACCAUUAGCUGGAGAUGACCAAACAAGGGUCCCAACAUGCAUGCAUGUUGUUUUUCAACGCCAUUAAUGCUAGUGUUUCUUAAGUAUUCUUUAGUAUGUCAGCGGAACACCAAGAUUUCUGGUCAAUAAGAUUCUAGUCAAAUGUUUUCCACAGUAAAACAAAACAAUGUUCAGAGCAUAAAAUAUUCCCAAAAGAUGUAUAGAAAACAUGUAUUGGUAUUUGAUAGAAAUUAUAGUGGUCCACAACUUAAGACCAAUUCCAACAUUAACAUUGGCAACUUUAUUAUAGUAUAGCUUUGGUGAAGGUUAAUUGGAAAAAAAGCUUUAAAGUUAUUAUGAUACAUUUUUUUCAAAUACACUAAACUAAGAAGUGGUUAUGGGCGAAGUGGUAGGCCUUUGGGCAAAGCCUCCAAAACGGAGGCUGACAGAGUCUGAAGCUUGCAGUCAGAGGAAACGAAGGGAGAAUUGUGCUCCAUUGAUAUUUUGUUGAUCAAUUGCAGCAAAACCUGUUCAAGUUCUUCUGCAUCACUCCAUCCAUGAAUCUCAGCCUUAACAACUGAAGGGUCUUUGCAUAUCAAGUCCCACACUGGAAAGUUCUUCCUUGGCAUCAUAAAGUCCUUCUCUUUCAGCCUCAAACUUGGGCAAUAGUCUCCACUCCCAUCUCCAAGGUAGAUCAUCCUCUUAUCCUCUUCUGAUAUUGAAUCUUGGAUUCUCUUUAUCACUAAACCCUGCAAUCAUUCAAAUAAAAUUACAUUUUACAAUCAUAAGUAUCGGUGGGACCUAGGUCAAAAUUAUUCUUUAUUUUAUAUUUCAAUCAAAUCCAGUAUGCUCAUAUCAGAGAGCAAACAAUAAAUUUUGGUAUUUUUUAAGGCCAAGAAUUAAGGAGACAAGUUCCAUUGCUAUAGGAUUAAUCCAUGACUCAUGAACACUUGAGUCACGUUAGCAGCAAUCUUUGUGAUUAAAAAUGGAAAUAAUAGUGUCUCGUCAGCUAGAGCCAGUUAAGAUCAACUUGAAAACAAUAUCUAGAAACGUGUACUGUUGUAUACAUUUAAGCAAAUUUGUCAUCAUGAUUUAGACAAAUGAUAAAACAAGAUAGAAAAAGAAGUUGUGUAUUUACCUUGCACAUGUUUGGAGGGCACAAAGUGCAGCCAUGGGAAGCUUUGUUGAAGUCAUGGUAAGGAAGAAUCCUUAACCUUCCUUCUUCAUUCACAUAACCGGGGUUAGUAUUCAUCUCUGAGAAAUAUUCCCUUAUUCCCAAAUGCUUCAAAAUAGUCUCAAUGAAAUACGUGUUUGCAUCACUCACAAUCCUCAAAUCACACCUGAAAAAACAAAUGUCACCGUAAAUUUAAUCCAUAUUUACCAAAAAAGAACGUGAUCAUAAUUUUGUAUGAGAGAUGCAUAGUUACGUACCCUAAAGCAUGAGCUACUUUAAUAGCAGGAAUAACUCUGGGGUGCAAGGGAAUCUUAUGCAGAACCUCUUCAAUGUCCUUCAUGCUUUUACCAUGUGAAUGAAGCUCCUUCAUCAUUGUGUCCUUCAAAAACCAAAAACCAAAAAACUCGGUUAUUCAUAUCAUUCAAACCAUGCAUUCUGCAAAGUUAAGUUUAAACAAAAGAGAGUAUAAACCCAAAAAAUGUGACAACAAAAAGGCUUACCAUGAGAGUGUUCCAAGGCAUGGUGGGAAGAAGCUGGUUGAACAAAUCCGUGAAACCCAAUUCGUCGACCACCCAGUUGUCGCUGUCGACAUCCACAAUGGUUUUGUCGAAGUCGAAAACAACCACGAUUCCAGACAUUAUCUGUUUUGGUGAAUGGAAAAAAGAAAGCUUUUUUCUGAAUAAUAAGGCUCUGUUUGGGUGAGUGUACAGUGCUUUCAAGAGUGGUGGUUCUUGGCUUGGUUCUGCAAUGGAAAGAAAAGAGGGUUAUAUUUAUAGUAAUGGUGAAUGAAUAAAGAUUAAAAGAAUCUUAGAUUUCAAAGGAAUAUUACACGGAUAGUUCGUGGUAGCAAAGAUGGAGGCUCAAAAUAAAAACAGAAAUAUUGCGCUUUUAUUUUACCUUCACCGAAUCCCUUUCGGUGCGCCAUAUUUAAAAUUAAAUCUGCACCGUUGGAUGAAAUCAUAUAGAUAGGUGAAAGGAUCGGAGGGUGUGGGUGGAUUGGUCCUAAGAGUAAAACACGGGAAUAAAGGGCAUAUUCGACAGGGAAUUGGAUGCACUUGAGGAGCCUCACCUGAGUGUGUGAAAUCACUUCUUACCAACGCAUACAAUAAUACAUCGCAUGAAUAUUCUGUAUUCAGUUAAUUUCGUCAAUUUCUUUUUUUUUCUGUUAUGAAUUAAUAAUAAAUUAAAAUAAUGUAAUAUAUUGUAAUCAAAUGGUUUUUAUUGAUGAUGUCUUUUGAAAAAUGAUAGAAUAUUACUCGAAAAUUCAAGAUGAUAAAAGUAAAUUGAUAGAGAUAACCAAUUCAGAAAAUAAGUAUCAUGAUGAAAAUAAAAAAUAAAAGUGUGAUUUGGAAGGAUUUUUUUUUAUAUAGUUUUUAUAUUAAAGUAAAAACAAAUAGAUAUAAGUUAGUUUGAUUUGAUAGUAAAUUAUUGAUAUCUAUCAUUCUCAUCACAUAUCAGUUAGACUUAUAUCAACCAAUAUUGAUAGAGUAUCUUUUUAUGUAUGUGAACUCAUUUUUUCAAUUAGCAUUUUUUUUAAAAUUUCUAUAGUGAUAUUUUCUAUCAUCUAACACCAAUUUUUUUUAAUAAUUUAUUAAUUUUUUAUUUCAAUGUGAAAUGAAAAAAAAAAUUAUAUUAAUAGUAACUAUUUUUUUUACCAAUAUUAAAUGAAAGAAAUUUUCAAUUGAUAUUAAUUAAAUAGUUAUAAAAAAUUAUUUAAAAUAUUAUAAAAAUAAUUUUGAUAUUAAUCUAAAUAAUUGUAGAAAACUCAAAAAUUAUGAAGAAACUUUAUCAAUGUUAUUAGAAAUUUGUUUGAAAAUUUAUUACAAAAUUAAUAUUAAUCAAGAUCAACUCAAAAAUUAUUAUAAAUGAUUUAAUAUUUAAAUAAUUUUAUAUUAAUACUAAUUUAAAUAUUUUAUACAAAAUAAUAAUAAAUUUAAAUUACCUUAUUGUGAUAAACGUUUAAAAAAUGAGGUCAAUUUAAAUUUUAUAUAUUUGAUUUUUUUAAAUUAUAAAAUUACUUAUCCAAACAAAGAUUAUGAUAUUUUUUUAAUAUACUUUGAUUUAUUAAAUAUGUUAUGUUGUUACGUUUGGAGUUAUUUUUAACAUAUUAAUGAUAUUUAUUUGAUAUUUAAAUAUAUUAUUUAUACUUAUCCAACUAACAACAUUCAAAUCAUACUCUUCAAAUGAUUCAAGUAAAUUUUUAUUUUUUAUUCGUUCUCCUAAACUUACAUAAAAAGAUAAAUAUCGUGUAAACAAUCUGUUAUUGUUAUGGAAAAAUAAAAGGUAAUUAUUGGUUAAUUAAUUAGGUUAUAGUAAAUAACUAAUUAGUUAAUAUUUUUUUAUGUAAAAUGUUUAUAUUAAGAAGUCAACUUAAUCUUAUAAAAUUUAUGAAAAUUUUGAUAUCUUUAUGUCAUCAUACUUUAGUCCCUCCUAUGCUUUUUUGGAAAAAGAAAAUGUAAGAGAUAAACUAUAUAUUUUUAAAAUUAAUUUUUAUUUAACGAUUUUUUUAAAUGAAAUUAUAUAUUUAAAAAAAAAUAAACUUUAAAUUUAAAGCAAUCAUUAAAAAUCAAUUCAAUUUGUCCCCACUACUUUUUUUUAACAUAAAUAAUAAAAAAAAUUCACAUUAAUAAGUGAUUAACAAAUUUAUAUAAAAGAACAAUAUUUAAUAUAAAAUAUUAAGAUGAUAGAUUUAUAAUUUUCUACUUGUAUAUUAUUUAUUUUACAAAUUUUUAAUAACAGGUAAUGAACUAAUAAAUAUAGAUUGACGUGAAACAUCUGUCUAAUCAGAAACAAUGACAAAGGAGGUUCUUGUUAUAAUUAACAUUUGAUUAUUAUUUUUAUCAUUAGCAUGUGUUUGAUUGUGGUGUGAUCCAAUAUUGAUGUAUUAAUUAAAGUUUUAUUAUUAUUAUUAUUAUUAUUAUUAUUAUUAUUAUUAUUAUUAUUAUUAUUAUUAUUAUUAUUAUUAUUAUUAUUAUUAUUAUUAUUAUUAUUAUUAUUAUUAUUAUUAUUAUUAUUAUUAUUAUGAUUCUGCCACCUUUUUUGGUUCAGUUUUUUAAUCCUCUCAUUCUAAAUCAGAGGUUACAUAAGAACAUGCAUGCAUGUUGUUUUUCUACGCCAUUAAUGCUAGUGCUUCUUUGCAUCACCAUUUUUAUUAAAUUUUUAACUCAAUGCUCUAUGAUUAGAUAUUUUUUAUUUUUUUUAUCUUCUUCCAACUUUCACCACUUCAACCAAUCAACUCAAUUUCAGAUUAAUGGCAUACACAUCUUUUAUUCUAAAAUUAAAUUAUGAAUAAAGUUUCUUUCGGAUAGAUUAAUUGAAUGUUUACUGCAUAAGCAAUCAUAAUUCUUAUCUUAUAAGUUAAUCUUUUAAAAAUAAAUUUUUAAUAUGAUAUAUAAACUUAUUCUGGUCAAAUUUGUUGCACUUAUAUAUCAUUUGUUAUACUUCACAAAUAUUUAAUUUUACAUAAUAUAUAUAUAUAUACAUAUAUAUAUAUAUGUAUAUAUAUUAAUUAAUGUGAGAUGAGAAUGUAGAAAAUUUUACGAUAACUAAAAAUUAAGUCAAUAUUUAUAUUAUAUAUAUAAGUGGGGUUUUUAAAAUACAAACUAAGUUAAAUUUAAAUCUAAACUUAAUUAUUAAAAUAUGAAUUGAAUUUGUAAUUCAUUAUUAGUAUUAAAGAUUAUUUAUGUGAAAGUAAAAAAAUAUUAAGUUAAAUAUGUUUUUUUUGGUUUUUAAGUAUAUAUAACAAAAAUUCAAUUGUCAUUAAAAAAAAUUGAUAAUAACUCAUUUUAAUAGUUUUCUUACUACAAAUAUUUAUUAUAUCUAAAUUUUGAAUUAGAGAUAAAAAUCAAUCUCAUAUAAAAAUUUUAGGAAUGAAAAACAUAUUUAAUCCAAAAUCUUCUAAAAUGUGGUAUUGUAAUUGUUCCAGACAAAAGAGGUGAAGGUAUAGGCGACCUUAAGCCCAUAACACUUAACAUAGUCAAGAGUGAGUGCACCUUACAUGCCUCUAGCCAUAAGUGUAGGCUUUGAGGCUAUUUGUGAUAGUAGCUUAUUCUUCUAUCAUUCGUCGCCCGAUCAUACACACUUUACAGGUAAAUGUGUUUGCAUUUAUUGUUUCCCUAUUGCGCAUCACAUCAUCUGCUCCUUGCAUUUCCCGAUACCCACGUGUCACGCUCUUGUAGUUGACUGCUAUGUGGUGUGAUAAGACCAUAUUACCUCAGGUAAAAUUUCUACCCAUCUUGUCUUAGUCGUUCCUAACUUCUUUACCAAACCUGGUAAAAUUAAUUUAUUUGCUGCUUCUACUUGUCCGUUUGACUGAGGAUGCUCCACAAAUAUAAAUAUCCGUUGAAUCCCCAAAUCCUUACACAUGCGUCUUAACUUUUGACUUGCAAACUGUUUUCCAUUAUCUAACACUAGCUCCCUAGGCACACCAAAUCGGCAAACAAUUGAUUUCCACACAAACUUAGAAUUUAUUUUUUUGUUGUAAUCGUUGUUAAUAGCUCCACUUCUACCCAUUUGGUGAAGUAUUUAAUGGCCACCACUAUAAACUUGAAUUGUCGUAUGGACAUCGGGAAAGUACCCAAUAUGUCGAUUCCCCAUUUAUAAAAAGGCCAUGGGAAAAUUAACGAAUACAAACGUUCUGCUGGGACCUUUAUCUCAUUUGAGUGUCGCUAACAUUUAUCACACUUCUUCUCAUACCAUAAACAGUUAUUUCUUAACGUAGACAAGAAAAACCCCGCCCUUAACACUUUUACUGCCAAGGAUCGACCUCCAAUAUGCCUAACGCAAACACCUUCAUGAACUUCAUGCAUUAUCCUUUCUUUUUUCAGCUCGCCGACACACCUCAAUAGUGGUGUCAAACUCCUUGGAUUAGAGUAUAUCUUGCCACAUUAUUCCUCAAAGUAUUCACUGCUUCACUGUCUGUUGGCUCCUUCCCUUCUCUAAACCAGUUUAAAUACAUAUCCAUCCAGUUAUGCUCACUAUGUACAUCCAUCAUCCUAUAUCCAUCCGGUCCUCCAUAAAUCGACUUUUGAGUCCUAAUAUUUUUAAUGUGGUCAUUCAGAUUUUGUUUCCCAUUGAAGGAGUCGAUUUUAGGGAACAUGUAAUUUUGCGGAAUCGACUCACUCAAAAUUUCCUUCGAAAAGGGCUGAAAAGCUGGUUCUACUUCCUCCUCCAAGCGGCCAUUCGUGUUGCGGUCAUCCAUCUGUCUCUGAAGCUCCUCGUUUCGCCUCUACAACUGCUCUUGCACCCUUAUUGAAUCCUCCAUCCUUAAUCUUGCCUCCUCAUGUGUCCUUCGAAAUUCCUCCGCACGCUCAUCAUUUUGUCUUCUCAUUAUCUCGAUCAUUUCCAUCAAUAUCUGGGUUGUAUUGGACGGAAGGGCUCCAUUCGCCUCUUCCUAUGCUACCACUCGUCGUGUUGCUCUCAUUCUGUUUUGAAUCCUGAAUUUGAUGGUGCGGGUGUGAUUUUAUUUGUCCCACGGUGGGUGCCAAAAUGUUUCAGACAAGAGGGGUAAAGGUAUAGGCGACCUUAAGCCCAUAACACUCAAUAUAGUCAAGAGUGAGUGCACCCUUAACUAUUAUUUAAAAGAUGUUGCUUCUUGUUAGGGCCUCCUCUAGUAUAUAUUGAUAGAAUCCACCAUAAUCCUCCUGAUUCUGCAUUCCCUAACGUAUGUCAAAGUAACGUCAUAUUGCCUUGUGGUUCAGAAACCGAUCUUCUCAUUAUAUAGCCGAAUCUAGACUCAUCGCCCUACAUGCCCAGUCUCAGGUGUAAGCCAUUAAGACUAUUAUUAAGUUAUCAUUCGACCAAGUCUUCACUCAUUAUAUAAUCAGGUCCGGACCUAUCACCUUACAAUAAUCGUUUUGGAUUUUCUGUCUUAUAAAUCAUGCUUUAAAAUGUAUAUGGAAAAGAUAAAAAAUAAUUAAGAAUUUGAUUUUUCAAAAGUGACUUAUUGCUACUAAUUAUUUUUUGUCAAACAUAAUUAUUAACAUUGACUUGGAUAAUAAGGUCAGACAAGGUGAACAUUUGUCUUUCAAUGUAGGUUAAUUAUCUCAUAUUUAAAGUGACUAAGGAUGAUAUUAGACUGCUAAAUUAAUUCAUUAUUCCAUCUCUUUUUCAUCUACUAUACUUAAAGAUGGAUUCAGAGUCUACCAGUUAGUCCUCCAAAAAUAAAUAAUAAAUAAAUAAAUAAAUUUAAAUAUAAUUUUUGUGAUCAAUACUGUAAUAAUUAAUGACUGGACACAUAAACAUGGGGUUAAUGAUUAGUUAAGCAUCCUUGACGUAACCUAAAGUGUUCUUUGGUAUGUCUGCGGAACACCACCAACAUUUCUGGUCAAUCAAGAUUCUAGUCAAAUGUUUUCCACAGUAAUACAAUGUUCAGAGCAUAAAAAAUUUCCCAAAGAUGUAUAGAAAACAUGUAUUGGUAUUUGAUAGAAGUUUCAGUGGUCCACAACUUAAGACCAAUUCCACCAUUAACAUUGGCAACUUUAGUAUUGGUUUGGUGAAGGUUAAUUGGAAAAAAAAAGCUUAAAAGUUACUAUGAUACAUUCUAAACUAAGAAGUGUUUAUGGCCGAAGUGGUAGGACUUUGGGCAAAGCCUCCAAACCAGACAGUGACAGAGUCUGAAGCUUGCAAUCAGAGGUAAUGAAGGGAGAAUUGUUCUCCAUUGAUACUUUGCUGAUCAAGUGCAGCAAAACUUGUUCAAGUUCUUCUCCAUCACUCCAUCCAUGAAUCUCAGCCUUAACAAGUGAAGGGUCUCUGCAUAUCAAGUCCCACACUGGAAAGUUCUUCCUUGGCAUCAUAAAGUCCUUCUCUUUCAGCCUCAAACUUGGGCAAUAGUCUCCACUCCCAUCUCCAAGAUAGAUCAACCUCUUAUCCUCUUCUGAUAUUGAAUCUUGCAUCCUCUUUAUCACUAAACCCUGCAAUCAUUCAAAUCAAAUAACAUUUUACAAUCAUAACAUAAUUGAACAUAAUUUUUUAUUUAUUAUGAACUAUAUUGGUGGGGCCUAGGUCAAAAUUGUUCUUUAUUUUAUAUUUCAAUCAAAUCCAGUAGGCUCAUAUCAGAGAGAAAACCAGGAUGGCAUGUUUGGUUGGUUAAGAAAAAAUUUGGUAUUUUUUAAGGCCAAAAAUUCAGGAGACAAGUUCCAUAUCUAUAGGAUCAAUUCAUGACUCAUGAACACUUGAGUAACGUUAGCAGCAAUCUUUAUGAUUAAAAAUGGAAAUAAUAGUAUCCCAUCAGCUAGAGCCAGUUAAGAUCAACUUGAAAACAAUAUCUAGAAACGUGUAUUGUUGCCAACUGUUGUAUGCAUUUAAGCAAAUUUUUCGUCAUGAUUUAGACAAAUGAUAAAACAAGAUAGAAAAAGAAGUUGUG
This 17083-nucleotide long non-coding RNA is filed under the name Phaseolus vulgaris (common bean). RNAcentral describes it as "long non-coding RNA (PVUL_LNC000934)". Lineage: Eukaryota; Viridiplantae; Streptophyta; Magnoliopsida; Fabales; Fabaceae. The record is from RNAcentral.